This 227-nucleotide ribosomal RNA is filed under the name uncultured bacterium. RNAcentral's name for it is "partial 16S ribosomal RNA". It matches the Rfam family "Bacterial small subunit ribosomal RNA", at positions 107 to 334 of the family's 1533-position model. The record is from RNAcentral.
UGAGUAACACGUAUCCAACCUGCCGUCUACUCUUGGCCAGCCUUCUGAAAGGAAGAUUAAUCCAGGAUGGCAUCAUGAGUUCACAUGUCCGCAUGAUUAAAGGUAUUCCGGUAGACGAUGGGGAUGCGUUCCAUUAGAUAGUAGGCGGGGUAACGGCCCACCUAGUCUACGAUGGAUAGGGGUUCUGAGAGGAAGGUCCCCCACAUUGGAACUGAGACACGGUCCAA